Molecule: ribosomal RNA, 204 nt
Filed under: uncultured bacterium
Lineage: Bacteria
Description: partial 16S ribosomal RNA
Rfam family: Bacterial small subunit ribosomal RNA
Source: RNAcentral
UACGAAGGGUGCAAGCGUUAUUCGGAAUUACUGGGCGUAAAGCGCGCGUAGGUGGUUCGUUAAGUUGGAUGUGAAAGCCCCGGGCUCAACCUGGGAACUGCAUCCAAAACUGGAGAGCUAGAGUACGGUAGAGGGUGGUGGAAUUUCCUGUGUAGCGGUGAAAUGCGUAGAUAUAGGAAGGAACACCAGUGGCGAAGGCGACCA